GAAGCCCGCCAGACUGCCGCUGGUGCAAGCCGCAAGGACGACGCGCAAGCGUCGGGUGGAAACACCGCACUGGAGGAACGUCCGGACUGCAUAGGGCAGCGUAGCAGCUAACGGCUGUCCACUGAAAGCCUGGCCCGCAAGGGGCAGGUAUAAGGUGAGGAUCAGAGCAACAGAGACGAGCCGAUUAAGUUCGGGUGAAACGGGCAAUCUCUACGCGCAGCAAUACCAAGUAGGCACACGUUGACGGGGCCCCCGGAGUGUGCGGGUAGGUAGCACCGAGC
This 281-nucleotide RNase P RNA is filed under the name Rhodoferax sp. RNAcentral describes it as "partial RNase P RNA component class A". It matches the Rfam family "Bacterial RNase P class A", at positions 1 to 285 of the family's 367-position model. From Rfam's summary of the family: Ribonuclease P (RNase P) is a ubiquitous endoribonuclease, found in archaea, bacteria and eukarya as well as chloroplasts and mitochondria. Its best characterised activity is the generation of mature 5'-ends of tRNAs by cleaving the 5'-leader elements of precursor-tRNAs. Cellular RNase Ps are ribonucleoproteins. The record is from RNAcentral. Lineage: Bacteria; Pseudomonadati; Pseudomonadota; Betaproteobacteria; Burkholderiales; Comamonadaceae.